GCCUCCGUGGUGCAAUGGUCAGCACGCUGGACGCGCAUUCCAAAUGUCCGUGGUUCGAGUCCUCGCGAGAACA
RNAcentral lists this transfer RNA (73 nucleotides) under Stegodyphus mimosarum. It matches the Rfam family "tRNA". From Rfam's summary of the family: Transfer RNA (tRNA) molecules are approximately 80 nucleotides in length. Their secondary structure includes four short double-helical elements and three loops (D, anti-codon, and T loops). Further hydrogen bonds mediate the characteristic L-shaped molecular structure. tRNAs have two regions of fundamental functional importance: the anti-codon, which is responsible for specific mRNA codon recognition, and the 3' end, to which the tRNAs corresponding amino acid is attached (by aminoacyl-tRNA synthetases). tRNAs cope with the degeneracy of the genetic code in two manners: having more than one tRNA (with a specific anti-codon) for a particular amino acid; and 'wobble' base-pairing, i.e. permitting non-standard base-pairing at the 3rd anti-codon position. Lineage: Eukaryota; Metazoa; Arthropoda; Arachnida; Araneae; Eresidae. The record is from Rfam by way of RNAcentral.